CUUAAUGUGGCAGAAAAUCACAUGCAAUGAACUUAAGCUUCAUUUAUAAAGAAUAUUCUUUCAUUAAGA
This 69-nucleotide transfer RNA is filed under the name Triatoma rubrofasciata (large kissing bug). Its description in RNAcentral is "tRNA-Leu". Lineage: Eukaryota; Metazoa; Arthropoda; Insecta; Hemiptera; Reduviidae. The record is from RNAcentral.